AAACACAGCCUGCCGAUCCCGGAGAAUGCCUGGUGGGGGUGCUGGGGGAAGAAGUCCAAUUUCAGCUGGGAAAAUGGGACAGGAGUCUUGGGAGUGGGUUUAUGCCUCAAAUUCCCUUAUGGCCAUAGUCCAUUGGCCCCUAGCCUCCUCCCCACUUUAAAGAUGAAGAGACUGAGGUUUAGAGAGAGGAACAGCUAGCUUGGCAGAGGCAACUGCUUAGGCAGUUGAGGAAAGUGAAUUUUGAAGAUUGCACGGGUCGACAAAGGACAGCCUAUUUUUCCCUCGACACCCGAUUCAAAGUGGGCACAGAUGGUGUGAUUACAGUCAAAAGGCCUCUACGGUUUCAUAACCCACAGAUCCAUUUCUUGGUCUACGCCUGGGACUCCACCUACAGAAAGUUUUCCACCAAAGUCACGCUGAAUACAGUGGGGCACCACCACCGCCCCCUGCCGCAUCAGGCCUCUGUUUCUGGAAUCCAAGCAGAAUUGCUCACAUUUCCCAACUCCUCUCCUGGCCUCAGAAGACGGAAGAGAGACUGGGUUAUUCCUCCCAUAAGCUGCCCAGAAAAUGAAAAAGGCCCGUUUCCUAAAAACCUGGUUCAGAUCAAAUCCAACAAAGACAAAGAAGGCAAGGUUUUCUACAGCAUCACUGGCCAAGGAGCUGACACACCCCCUGUUGGUGUCUUUAUUAUUGAAAGAGAAACAGGAUGGCUGAAGGUGACAGAGCCUCUGGAUAGAGAACGCAUUGCCACAUACACUCUCUUCUCUCAUGCUGUGUCAUCCAACGGGAACGCAGUUGAGGACCCAAUGGAGAUUUUGAUCACAGUGACCGAUCAGAAUGACAACAAGCCCGAAUUCACCCAGGAGGUCUUUAAGGGGUCUGUCAUGGAAGGUGCUCUUCCAGGAACCUCUGUGAUGGAGGUCACAGCCACAGACGCGGACGAUGAUGUGAACACCUACAAUGCUGCCAUCGCUUACACCAUCCUCAGCCAAGAUCCUGAGCUGCCUGACAAAAAUAUGUUCACCAUUAACAGGAACACAGGAGUCAUCAGUGUGGUCACCACUGGGCUGGACCGAGAGAGUUUCCCUACAUAUACCCUGGUGGUUCAGGCUGCUGACCUUCAAGGUGAGGGGUUAAGCACAACAGCGACAGCUGUGAUCACAGUCACGGACACCAACGAUAACCCUCCGGUCUUCAAUCCCACCACGUACAAGGGUCAGGUGCCUGAGAACGAGGCUAACGUCGUAAUCACCACACUGAAAGUGACUGAUGCUGAUGCCCCCAGUACCCCAGCAUGGGAGGCUGUAUACACCAUAUUGAAUGAUAAUGGUGGACAAUUUGUCGUCACCACAAAUCCAGUGAACAACGAUGGCAUUUUGAAAACAGCAAAGGGCUUGGAUUUUGAGGCCAAGCAGCAGUACAUUCUACACGUAGCAGUGACGAAUGUAGUGCCUUUUGAGGUCUCUCUCACCACCUCCACAGCCACUGUCACCGUGGAUGUGCUGGAUGUGAAUGAAGCCCCCAUCUUUGUGCCUCCUGAAAAGAGAGUGGAAGUGUCCGAGGACUUUGGCGUGGGCCAGGAAAUCACAUCCUACACUGCCUGGGAGCCAGACACAUUUAUGGAACAGAAAAUAACGUAUCGGAUUUGGAGAGACACUGCCAACUGGCUGGAGAUUAAUCCGGACACUGGUGCCAUUUCCACUCGGGCUGAGCUGGAUAGGGAGGAUGUUGAGCACGUGAAGAACAGCACAUACACAGCCCUCAUCAUAGCUACAGACAACGGUUCUCCAGUUGCUACUGGAACAGGGACACUUCUGCUGAUCCUGUCUGAUGUGAAUGACAAUGCCCCCAUACCAGAACCUCGAACUCUAUUCUUCUGUGAGAGGAAUCCAAAGCCUCAGGUCAUAAACAUCAUUGAUGCAGACCUUCCUCCCAAUACAUCUCCCUUCACAGCAGAACUAACACACGGGGCGAGUGCCAACUGGACCAUUCAGUACAACGACCCAACCCAAGAAUCUAUCAUUUUGAAGCCGAAGAUGGCCUUAGAGGUGGGUGACUACAAAAUCAAUCUCAAGCUCAUGGAUAACCAGAAUAAAGACCAAGUGACCACCUUAGAGGUCAGCGUGUGUGACUGUGAAGGGGUCGCCGGCGUCUGUAAGAAGGCACAGCCUAUCGAAGCAGGAUUGCAAAUUCCUGCCAUUCUGGGGAUUCUUGGAGGAAUUCUUGCUUUGCUAAUUCUGAUUCUGCUGCUCCUGCUGUUUCUUCGGAGGAGAGCGGUGGUCAAAGAGCCCUUACUGCCCCCAGAGGAUGACACCCGGGACAACGUUUAUUACUAUGACGAAGAAGGAGGCGGAGAAGAGGACCAGGACUUUGACUUGAGCCAGUUGCACAGGGGCCUGGACGCUCGGCCUGAAGUGACUCGUAAUGAUGUCGCGCCAACACUCAUGAGUGUCCCCCGGUACCUUCCCCGCCCUGCCAAUCCCGAUGAAAUUGGAAAUUUUAUUGAUGAAAACCUGAAGGCGGCUGAUACUGACCCCACAGCCCCGCCUUAUGAUUCUCUGCUCGUGUUUGACUAUGAAGGAAGCGGUUCCGAAGCUGCUAGUCUGAGCUCCCUGAACUCCUCAGAGUCAGACAAAGACCAGGACUAUGACUACUUGAACGAAUGGGGCAAUCGCUUCAAGAAGCUGGCAGACAUGUACGGAGGCGGCGAGGACGACUAGGGGACUCAAGAGAGGCGGGCCCUAGACCCGUGUGCUGGG
RNAcentral lists this small RNA (2759 nucleotides) under Pongo abelii (Sumatran orangutan). RNAcentral's name for it is "processed transcript". Lineage: Eukaryota; Metazoa; Chordata; Mammalia; Primates; Hominidae. The record is from RNAcentral.